This 217-nucleotide ribosomal RNA is filed under the name Patescibacteria group bacterium. RNAcentral describes it as "partial 16S ribosomal RNA". It matches the Rfam family "Bacterial small subunit ribosomal RNA", at positions 821 to 1533 of the family's 1533-position model. The record is from RNAcentral.
UAGCCUUUACAAUGAAUUUGGGCUCGCGUAGUGCGGGAAAUCCGCUCGCUAUGUGGGAACGCGAAAUAUUGUUUAAUUAUCGCAAUCCGCCCGUCAACUCAAGGGAGUCGGAAGUACCCGAAGUUCGCCCUCGCGGCGACCUACGGUAAGUUCGAUGACAGGGAGUAAGUCGUAACAAGGCACGGGUAGCGGAAGCUGCUCGUGGAUUAUUUCAAAU